Molecule: transfer RNA, 65 nt
Filed under: Ochthebius paradoxus
Lineage: Eukaryota; Metazoa; Arthropoda; Insecta; Coleoptera; Hydraenidae
Description: tRNA-Ile
Source: RNAcentral
AAUGAAGUGUCUGACGAAAAGAAUUAUUUUGAUAGAAUAAAACAUGUAACCCCUUACCUUCAUUA